Molecule: ribosomal RNA, 492 nt
Filed under: uncultured bacterium
Lineage: Bacteria
Description: partial 16S ribosomal RNA
Rfam family: Bacterial small subunit ribosomal RNA
Source: RNAcentral
AGUGAACGCUGGCGGUAGGCCUAACACAUGCAAGUCGAACGGCAGCACAGUAAGAGCUUGCUCUUACGGGUGGCGAGUGGCGGACGGGUGAGGAAUACAUCGGAAUCUACUUUUUCGUGGGGGAUAACGUAGGGAAACUUACGCUAAUACCGCAUACGACCUACGGAUGAAAGCAGGGGAUCUUCGGACCUUGCGCGAUUGAAUGAGCCGAUGUCGGAUUAGCUAGUUGGCGGGGUAAAGGCCCACCAAGGCGACGAUCCGUAGCUGGUCUGAGAGGAUGAUCAGCCACACUGGAACUGAGACACGGUCCAGACUCCUACGGGAGGCAGCAGUGGGGAAUAUUGGACAAUGGGCGCAAGCCUGAUCCAGCCAUACCGCGUGGGUGAAGAAGGCCUUCGGGUUGUAAAGCCCUUUUGUUGGGAAGGAAAAGCAGCAGGUUAAUACCCCGCUGUUCUGACGGUACCCAAAGAAUAAGCACCGGCUAACUUCGUG